Molecule: ribosomal RNA, 253 nt
Filed under: uncultured bacterium
Lineage: Bacteria
Description: partial 16S ribosomal RNA
Rfam family: Bacterial small subunit ribosomal RNA
Source: RNAcentral
UACAGAGGGGGCAAGCGUUGUUCGGAAUUACUGGGCGUAAAGGGCGCGUAGGCGGCCUGCUAAGUCGAACGUGAAAUCCCUGGGCUCAACCCAGGAACUGCGUCCGAUACUGGUUGGCUUGAAUCCGGGAGAGGGAUGCGGAAUUCCAGGUGUAGCGGUGAAAUGCGUAGAUAUCUGGAGGAACACCGGUGGCGAAGGCGGCAUCCUGGACCGGCAUUGACGCUGAGGCGCGAAAGCUAGGGGAGCAAACGGG